AUGGAUUCAACUGCAUCAGCGUCGGGCUCGGCCACGUCCAAUCUCGAAGCAUUGAUGGAGGAAUUGGGCCUCAAGGAAGAUGAUCUGCAGGACGUCGUGGUGGAGGAUGGAGAACUGCCGAAGGAGGAGACGCGCUGGAUGGCGAUCGCUAGGGUUCACACCGACAAAACCUAUAGCCAAUAUUGGUUCUAUAGAGGUAUGAGGGUGGCGUGGGAUCUAGCGAAGGAGGUAAAGAUCAGGCCACUCAAGGAGAAUCUCUAUUCCCUCCAAUUCUCGUGCCUUGGCGACUGGGAGAGAGUAAUGGAGGACGGCCCAUGGAAUUUUAAGGGGAAGGCGGUGGUUCUGGCGCCCUAUGAAGGGUUCACGGAGCCGUCAACGAUUGAGCUCAAGAAGAUAGACAUAUGGCUGCAAAUACAUGAUCUCCCAGAUGGUUACUUCUCCAAGAUAAAGGCCUUGUCAUCCAUGGUAGGUGAGUUCAUAUUUGCCGAGCCAAAGUCACAUGAUUUCGAGGGUAACUUUGCAAGGGUACGAGUGAGAAUAGAUGUGACUAAACCUCUGAAAAAGGUUGUCUCGCUGGUGGUUCAAAAGAAGGAUACGGUCGAGCGUGUCAUCUUCAGAAUCAAAUAUGAAAGAUUGCCGGAUUGA
Molecule: ribosomal RNA, 645 nt
Filed under: Triticum aestivum (bread wheat)
Lineage: Eukaryota; Viridiplantae; Streptophyta; Magnoliopsida; Poales; Poaceae
Description: partial small subunit ribosomal RNA
Source: RNAcentral